ACUGCAACCAUACCUUAUUUUUUGUCGUGGACCGCCACUGGCGAUGAUGCCGUACUCCGGCGACCACGAGCGCUCUCUGCCAUCGCUGUCACCGCCACGAGUUGUGUUCUCCUCCUCCCUCGCCCCAUCCGCCGCGCCCUUCCCCGCCGUUGACCCGGUGGGCCCGGGCCAAGGCCUCGGCCGUGAUCUGCCCACCGCCCCGACGCCCCGUCCGUCUACGCAGCGGGCGGAGACUGGCGCGCUGCGUCGUGGAUGGAGCCUCCCGCGAGCUACAUGGCCCCGCCGCCACGCCACCGAGUUAUAAAGAGCAACGAGAGGGACGAACAUUCCCCACCUGAGAAACUUAAACUAAUAAGGGAGGGACAAGAAAGAAAAAAAAGGCGAAGGUUACACAUUGCCGAAGGAGUUGCACACGAUAUGUUAGCCUUUUGCACCAUUAAUCUAGCUGGGGAGUCGCAUCUGCUAUUGCCUUCUAUUUCAUGUCCUGUGUGCAAUUCAUGUGAUUGUUAGGUGAGACGAACCAGCCACCACCGUAUCAGAGCGAGUAUGCUUUUCAAACCAGUUUGGGAUGGGUAACUGAAACUUCCCAGCUAGCUAGAUUAAUGGAUUUUCACCUUUACACACGUUGAUGGAUAACUGAAACUUCCCAACUAGAUUAAUGGAUUUUCAUCUUUACACCCCUAGGAUAGAUAAGGGUGUCCCCAACGGGUUCACCAAAUCGCCAGUGAAGUUGAAAGCUGAAAAUAAUAAUAAAAAGAAGUGAAGAGCGUAGGUAUGCAGACUGCAGAGCAACGGAGCUGAGAGAGGGAGCUUACUGUGGCAGCAGCAGCACUAGCUCAUUGCUCUAUCUCCUAUUCGCCCAAUAGAAUUUCACAAGAGCUGGCAAUUUAAGCACUGUUGGUUACGCCCUUAUAAUCUUGGGGCUAGAUUGGACGUUUGGUUUGGACUUUGGAGAAUGCUAGGGUGUUUCGUCUGGUGGCAGUUGGCACCCAGUUGUAUUUGGCAAAUAAACGAAUGGCACAACCUUGUCCUCCCCAAAUCUGGUGAGAUCUCUAUUGAGAUUAUACUAUUAGAGUUUGGUGUUUGGUCUUUGGGGUUGGGUUUUGGGGAUGGACAAUGGGAGUUUCUUGCCUGACGGCUUUUGCUGGGCUGGCAGCGAGGCAAAGCAGCAAUGACACCACUAGCCCAGCAGGAGGAUUUCUGUCUAGUGGAGUUGAGGCUUGGGGAACACCGGCGGUGGAGUGAGGGAUAAGGAGGUGGUUGCCGCAUGCGGGUUAAUUUCUUGCUGGAGUUCCAUGCUGGCUUCAGCAAAACCCUAGCCUGCUGCGGCAGGGUGAAGGCGCAUGGGAUGGCAGUGGCAUUGGGGCAGUACCGCAGUAGAGCUCGGGAAGAAGCAGUUUGCUCAAAGCUGAAUAGGACCCUGGCCAUUCAAUCUCCAUCCAGUGGCCAGAACAUGGGGUGCUGGAAGAGAUUUUUUUACCAGAAUAAUAUUGUAUAGACAGAUCCUUUGAUUUACUAGUGUUGACGAGUUACAGGUGAAGUUCAUUUUAGGCUCUCACAAUGAGAUGUAACUGGAUUUUUAGCAUCUGUUUAUGACAAUUACAGUUUUGGAUAGAUAACUUGGCAGCUAGAUUAGCCUUUUGGUUUUGUGUUGGGUGUGGGUGGGUGGUAAUGGAGGAUCAUGGUAGGCUCUGCCAAAAGGUUUUAACUGUAUAUUUAGUAGGCUUGCAGGCAGGGCGGGUUUUUUAUGGGAACCCGCAUAUCCACCCCACAAAAUCAUGCUUUGUGGCAGAUGCAGACCAGCUGCAGCAGUUUUUCGGCAUCAUGUCUGUUGUUUCAUUAAGCCCAUCGGUACCCUUUUGUUUCUACUUAUGACAAAUACAUGACACAGCUUUCGUCAUGUUCAACAGAUACACAACCUCACAUCUCUUCUACACAAUAUGUCAAUUCAUCUAAAAUGGCCAAUACAACCAUUCCAUUGAUGAAUGACACUAUUGGCGAAAGUUCCUUUUUUUUUCCUUAUAUGAAUUCUUGCAAAAAUCAAGCUUUAUUAUUUUGAUUCCGUGUGGAAUGAACAAAAGGGUCUUAGAUACCAAACUACUGAUAAGCAGUAUGGAAAAUGGAGUAACCCUGAUGACAAGGCAACAGUGGGGAACUAUUUCCUCAAUUCUUGUGGAGAGAUCCACCUUAAUCCGGAGCAUUUAGGGAAUGAGAGACUAAUGUGGGGAUCUUCUGAAAUGAAACAUGAUCUAGGAAGUUUUAGUUCCAAGGUUUCUUCGGCUGAGUCUAGAUUUAUUCAGACUUGUGAAGGUUCAUCUGAGUUUCCUGAUGUCAAUAACACUAGUGUUGAUUCGCCUUGUUGGAAGGGCACACCAGCCUCGUACCAGUGUUCGUUUGGGAUUAUGGAAAAUAACGGUGUUCCUCCUGUGGCGAUAAGAACAGCAGGCUACAUCAAUUCACAUAAAAACCAGAAGCCCCCUGAGUUGGGUUCUGGGUAUCCAUGGCGAUUCUGUGAACACCAAGUAGCAUUGAGUUCUGAGAUUGACCCUUUUAAGGUGUUCAAGUUGCCCGAAAGAUGUAAAAUCUCCAAAGAUCAUAAAGAAGUUCCACCAAUUGAUGUCAAGGUUCUUAAUGACAUGACUACUCAUGCUUGUUGUUUGCCUGACAAACAGCAUUCCGCAACACAGAAAUGCUAUGAUUCUAGAGAAGAUUCUCAGAAUGUGAUAACUUCAAGUCAACGGGAAAGUUUGUGUCCUGCCAGCAAGCCAAAACUUUUAGUUGUGGAGAAGGAAGAAAGCACUCACACAAGAGGUGAAGACCCUUCUCAAUGUUAUCCAGGUGUUGAGGGGAAUAUGAUGAAUAUGGCUUCUGAAUCCAGCUCUAGCACUCGGGCAAUAUUUCUGAAACUAAUGCACAACCUAUCAGUAGUGCUUCUAUUGACAUGCAAGGGUGGUUCUUUGUUGCACGAAGAUGAAGAGGACCUUCUGCAAUCAGUGAUUCAAAAUCUUACAGCUGCCAGUUCCAAAAGAAGCAAGGUUGAACAAAAAAACUGGUGAUGGGUUGAGCAACUCCAGUCAAAUGAAAUUAAAAAAUAUUAACUGUGCGAGGAACAACUUUUGGCGGUCAAUGCAUGAAGACUCAGUACGGGAGAAUGCUGAUUCAGAAUUUAAGGCCACUGUUUCACAGGUUCUUAGGCUAUCCGCACUCAUUCUACUCUAAAUUUCUACUCUAAAAGAAAUAUUCUAUCCUCAUCAUCAAGAUUCUCUACCCUAUAUCAUAAUCUACUGCAGUCAUAUUUACUCCAUACAUCAACUCUAUACCAAUCACCACAUAUAUUAUAUAUCUUUUUUUUGUCCCCUACUGCCACACCGGCUGAUGGCGCUCGGCACCGUACCUGCUGCAUGGACGUGUGGACUGAUAGAGUAAAAAAGCAUCGAUAGAGUAAAAAAGCAUCGACGCUGUAAAUAACGUUUUGUUUGCCCCCCAUAAGUUUACAGCUACCUAUAGAGUACUCCACUGCAGUAAAAUUUUACUCUAUACCUAGCCUUAUAUUGGUGGCGUCUUCUUUACAGUAUAUCACUGCGGGUAGCCUUACUAAUCACCAGGAGGAUAAGAUGCUUGACAACACUAAAGUUUCUCAAGCGUCAAUCUAUAGAAACUUGUGGAUUGAAGCAGAAGCUUCAGCUUGUAAACUCAAAUAUGAGCUUCAACAUGCUCACCUGGGCUUGAGACAGCAAAAGGCCUCAAUGUCACAGUAGAAGGUACUCCCUCGCUUCACAAAUGUAAGCAUUUCUAGCAUUUUUGGGCCAUUUAGGAGGAAGGGAAAUGACUGUGAUAUCCCUCAAUCAAUCACCAAGAUUACAGAGACUCAGUUAAUGCCUUGCUUUCGUAUAGAUGCCAUAAACGCCAAGUGCUAAUUAAAACUUUAAACACCAAGAUUGUAUUGAUGCUAAACAUGCUUGACACCAAAAUAAAACUGCUUCCAAAUAUUAAUGGUGAGGGAGUGUCAGGGGUUGAUUAUGCCAGAAAUGUUUACGUUCGUGGACAAUUUUGAAUGCUGAAGUUACAUGUACCUGUAGAAGGAAGCUGGAGGGAGUAGCAAGAUGGAUAUAUAAAUUAAUAUUUUCACAUAAGAGUCUCAGGAACCGUGCCUAAUCUCCUCUCCAGUUGACCAGUAUGGCGGUUCACCUACAAAAUGGGAGCAUGUUCUGAAGGAGAAUUUCUUCCAUCCAGGCAAAUAGGUGAAAUCUGAACCAUAAACCAGAAAGCUAUGGUUUCAGCUCAUGUUGCUUCAAAAUGUUGAUGCUUCUUGUAAAUAUGAUAUAUACAUCCUCUCCUCCCCAACCUUUAUCAGUAUGUUCAAUAAUCUGCAUAUCGGUGAUCAUGUAACCCCUCAUGGUGCUAUACGGAAGUAAUCUGGUUUUUCUGCUUGGGUCUAUGCCAAA
Molecule: RNA transcript, 4445 nt
Organism: Zea mays
Lineage: Eukaryota; Viridiplantae; Streptophyta; Magnoliopsida; Poales; Poaceae
Exons: 5
Source: RefSeq, a predicted model, not a curated record